Colletes gigas is the source of this 553-nucleotide long non-coding RNA. RefSeq lists it as uncharacterized. The record is from RefSeq and is a predicted model, not a curated record. The transcript has 3 exons. NCBI's taxonomy places the organism in Eukaryota, Metazoa, Arthropoda, Insecta, Hymenoptera, Colletidae.
CGGUCUGUUUUCCGUUCGUUGUUACGGUGAAAAUGAAGAUUGAAGAAUGAAAAUCGGGAACGUUAACAGACUAUUAAUCGGGAAAGCGCGAAUUAAAACUAAUUAAAUGCCCGGCAGUAAUAAAACGGAAAGAUAUUUCAAUGUGAUUUAUGGAACGUAAUAUUUCGACGAAACACGCGAACAGUUAAAGGUGAAGGUGAUACGCGGUACUACUGUGGGUUUAAUUAAAAUAAUGACGAUCGACGGACGCUGGGAUCCUCCGAUAACAGUAGAAAUACGCGGGUAAAUCUAUUCUGGCGUGGAUCGAACACUGCGUGAGAAGAUGCAAUUUUUGGGAGAUGGACGAUAUCAGCUGCACUCGCUGAAUUCACGUGUGAAACUGAUGUCUCAGGUUCGACAAAGACGCAGAAAUCUUAUCUAGCCGAUAACAAAGAGACGCAGUGUCAACAGGCAGAUGGGUUCCUCCGUUCGGAUUCAGGCAUCGUCGAUCAAAGUCGGGACAGUUCGAGAAGUAUGGAGGAGUGUGAGGAGGUUGUGGGUCUCUGGCCUCGCU